UACCAGCACCCCGAGUGGUCGGGACGUUUAUUGGGCCUAAAGCAUCCGUAGCCGGUUCUACAAGUCUUCCGUUAAAUCCAGCUGCUUAACAGAUGGGCUGCGGAAGAUACUAUGGAGCUAGGAGCGGGAGAGGCAAGCGGUACUCGAUGGGUAGGGGUAAAAUCCGUUGAUCCAUUGAAGACCACCAGUGGCGAAGGCGGCUUGCCAGAACGCGCUCGACGGUGAGGGAUGAAAGCUGGGG
This 241-nucleotide ribosomal RNA is filed under the name uncultured bacterium. RNAcentral describes it as "partial 16S ribosomal RNA". It matches the Rfam family "Archaeal small subunit ribosomal RNA", at positions 474 to 716 of the family's 1478-position model. The record is from RNAcentral.